RNAcentral lists this long non-coding RNA (342 nucleotides) under Setaria italica (foxtail millet). Its description in RNAcentral is "long non-coding RNA (SITA_LNC003164)". The record is from RNAcentral. Lineage: Eukaryota; Viridiplantae; Streptophyta; Magnoliopsida; Poales; Poaceae.
UCCCCUCUCCUCCCCCCACCACCACCACAAGAACCGCGUCAACACCACCUGCCAUUGCCGCGCCGAGCUGAGCCUCUAGCCGCGCCAGGAGGGCGCCCGCCUCUGCCUGCCUGCCUGCCUGCCUGCCUGCCGACAUCUUCGGUAGUUGAUGGAGUUGCACAAGUACUGGGGCGUCGGUGGCAGGCGGUGCGGCAGCUGCGAGGCGGCGCCGGCGGCGGUGCACUGCCGCUCGUGCCCCGCGGGGGGCGCGUUCCUCUGCACGGCUUGCGACGCGCGCCCGGGGCACGCGCGGCUCGCCCACGAGCGCGUGUGGAUGUGCGAGGUCUGCGAGCUGGCGCCCGC